RNAcentral lists this ribosomal RNA (468 nucleotides) under uncultured bacterium. RNAcentral's name for it is "partial 16S ribosomal RNA". It matches the Rfam family "Bacterial small subunit ribosomal RNA", at positions 28 to 507 of the family's 1533-position model. The record is from RNAcentral.
GACGAACGCUGGCGGCGUGCUUAACACAUGCAAGUCGAACGGAAAGGCCCUGCUUUUGUGGGGUGCUCGAGUGGCGAACGGGUGAGUAACACGUGAGUAACCUGCCCUUGACUUUGGGAUAACUUCAGGAAACUGGGUCUAAUACCGGAUAGGAGCUCCUGCUGCAUGGUGGGGGUUGGAAAGUUUCGGCGGUUGGGGAUGGACUCGCGUCUUAUCAGGUUGUUGGUGGGGUAGUGGCUUACCAAGGCUUUGACGGGUAGCCGGCCUGAGAGGGUGACCGGCCACAUUGGGACUGAGAUACGGCCCAGACUCCUACGGGAGGCAGCAGUGGGGAAUAUUGCACAAUGGGCGGAAGCCUGAUGCAGCAACGCCGCGUGCGGGAUGACGGCCUUCGGGUUGUAAACCGCUUUCGCCUGUGACGAAGCGUGAGUGACGGUAAUGGGUAAAGAAGCACCGGCUAACUACGUG